RNAcentral lists this ribosomal RNA (423 nucleotides) under uncultured bacterium. Its description in RNAcentral is "bacterial SSU rRNA". It matches the Rfam family "Bacterial small subunit ribosomal RNA", at positions 207 to 622 of the family's 1533-position model. The record is from RNAcentral.
AAGACCUUGCGCUUUUGGAGCGGCCGAUGUCUGAUUAGCUUGUUGGUGAGGUAAAGGCUUACCAAGGCUUCGAUCAGUAGCUGGUCUGAGAGGACGGCCAGCCACACUGGGACUGAGACACGGCCCAGACUCCUACGGGAGGCAGCAGUGGGGAAUUUUGGACAAUGGGGGCAACCCUGAUCCAGCCAUGCCGCGUGAGUGAAGAAGGCCUUCGGGUUGUAAAGCUCUUUCAGCCGGAACGAAACGGUUACGAUUAAUACCCGUAACUACUGACGGUACCGGAAGAAGAAGCACCGGCUAACUACGUGCCAGCAGCCGCGGUAAUACGUGGGGUGCGAGCGUUAAUCGGAAUUACUGGGCGUAAAGCGUGCGCAGGUGGUUUUGUAAGUCAGAUGUGAAAUCCCCGGGCUUAACCUGGGAACU